Molecule: small RNA, 87 nt
Filed under: Homo sapiens (human)
Lineage: Eukaryota; Metazoa; Chordata; Mammalia; Primates; Hominidae
Description: Y RNA (ENSG00000200544.1)
Rfam family: Y RNA
About the family: Y RNAs are components of the Ro ribonucleoprotein particle (Ro RNP), in association with Ro60 and La proteins. The Y RNAs and Ro60 and La proteins are well conserved, but the function of the Ro RNP is not known. In humans the RNA component can be one of four small RNAs -- hY1, hY3, hY4 and hY5.
Source: RNAcentral
AUCUGUGCAGUGGUGUUUACAACUGAUUACAACAGUUACAGACUUCGUUUCUUCUCCACUCCCACUGCUUCACUUGACUAGCUUUAA